UUCCGGUUGAUCCCGCCGGACCCGACUGCUAUUUGGGUGAGGAUAAGCCAUGCGAGUUGAAUGGGAUACCCAAAGUUCCCAUGGCAAACUGCUCAGUAACACAUGAUCAACUUACCCUAUAGAGGAAAAUAACCUCGGGAAACUGAGGAUAAUAUUCCAUAGUUGAAUCGGCUUGGAAAAGUUUUUCAAUAAAAGGGAUAAGGAAAAUGGUUCUUAUCUGCUAUAGGAUAGGAUCGUGUUCGAUUAUGGUUGUUGGUGAGGUAAAGGCUCACCAAGCCGAUAAUCGAUAGGGGCCGUGAGAGCGGGAGCCCCGAGAUGGGUACUGAGACAACGACCCAGGCCUUACGAGGCGCAGCAGGCGCGAAACCUCCGCAAUACACGAAAGUGUGGCGGGGUUACCCAAAGUGUUCUAUUUAGAACUGUGGUAGGUGAGUAAUGUCCCCUACUAGAAAGGAGAGGGCAAGGCUGGUGCCAGCCGCCGCGGUAAAACCAGCUCUUCAAGUGGUCGGGAUAAUUAUUGGGCUUAAAGUGUCCGUAGCCGGUUUAGUAAGUUCCUGGUAAAAUCGGGUAGCUUAACUAUCUAUAUGCUAGGAAUACUGCUAUACUAGAGGGCGGGAGAGGUCUGAGGUACUACAGGGGUAGGGGUGAAAUCUUAUAAUCCUUGUAGGACCACCAGUGGCGAAGGCGUCAGACUGGAACGCGCCUGACGGUGAGGGACGAAAGCCAGGGGAGCGAACCGGAUUAGAUACCCGGGUAGUCCUGGCCGUAAACGAUGCAUACUAGGUGAUGGCACGGCCAUGAGCCGUGUCAGUGCCGUAGGGAAACCGUUAAGUGUGCCGCCUGGGAAGUACGGUCGCAAGGCUAAAACUUAAAGGAAUUGGCGGGGGAGCACCACAAGGGGUGAAGCCUGCGGUUCAAUUGGAUUCAACGCCGGAA
Molecule: ribosomal RNA, 936 nt
Filed under: uncultured archaeon
Lineage: Archaea
Description: bacterial SSU rRNA
Rfam family: Archaeal small subunit ribosomal RNA
Source: RNAcentral